CUAGGGAGAAGACCCAUCCCCUG
RNAcentral lists this microRNA (23 nucleotides) under Pteropus alecto (black flying fox). RNAcentral describes it as "pal-miR-10016-3p". The record is from miRBase by way of RNAcentral. Lineage: Eukaryota; Metazoa; Chordata; Mammalia; Chiroptera; Pteropodidae.